ACAGUCAGGGCCAGGGAGGAGCAGAAUCCUCAGAGGAAGAUGUGGAUCCUCUCCCAGACAGCCGGGAGGCAGGUGGGACACAGGGAGGAGCAGAUCCUCACUCAGACAAAGAUGGGGAUCCUGCCCUGGGUGGAGGGAGGAGCAGCAUCCUCACUCAGCCAAAGAUGGGGAUCCUCUUGGGACGGCCUGGAGGCAGAUGGGGCACAGGGAGGAGCAGAAUCCUCAGAGGAAGACGCGGAUCCUCCCUCAGACAAAGAUGUGGAUCCUCCCUCAAAGAUGUGGAUCCUCCCUCAGACAAAGAGGCGGAUCCUCCCUCAGACGAAGAGGCGGAUCCUCCCUCAGACGAAGAGGCGGAUCGAAGAGGCGGAUCGUCUCGCGGAUGGAAGGAGGAAGGAGCAGAUCCUCAGACAAAGAUGUGGAUCCUCUCCUGGAUGGCCUGGUGGCAGAUGGGGCACAGGGAGGAGCAGAAUCCUCCCUCAGACAAAGAUGCGGAUCCUCCCUCAGAGGAAGACGCGGAUCCUCCCUCAGACAAAGAUGUGGAUCCUCCCUCAAAGAUGUGGAUCCUCCUCCCUCAGACGAAGAUGUGGAUCCUCCCUCAGACGAAGAUGUGGAUUCCCCCUCAGACGAAGAUGUGGAUCCUCCCUCAAAGAUGUGGAUCCUCCUCCCUCAGACGAAGAUGUGGAUCCUCCCUCAGACGAAGAUUGGAUUCUCCCUCAGACAAAGAUGUGGAUCCUCCCUCAAAGAUGUGGAUCCUCCCUCAGAGGAAGAUGCGGAUCCUCCCUCAGACGAAGAGGCGGAUCCUCCCUCAGACGAAGAUGUGGAUCCUCCCUCAAAGAUGCAGAUCCUCCCUCAGACGAAGAUGUGGAUCCUCUCGCGGAUGGCCUGGCGGCAGAUGGGGCACACGGUCAGCGCCGUGCUGCAGUCCGGGCAGGAGCCGUGCCCGCACUGGAACACCAGCUUGAUCUGGUCGUCGAUGCAGAUGGGGCAGGUGAUCCUCUCCUCCAUCUGCCGGUA
This 1014-nucleotide long non-coding RNA is filed under the name Zonotrichia albicollis (white-throated sparrow). RNAcentral describes it as "lncRNA (ENSZALG00000001027.1)". The record is from RNAcentral. Lineage: Eukaryota; Metazoa; Chordata; Aves; Passeriformes; Passerellidae.